CUGGACCAGGCAUCCUUUAUCUGAGUAUCCAGUGCGUCGUAGAUAUCGGGAAGUAUUAGUCGUGUCACUCCUUUGAGGUCCUCAGGGCCCCUUGUCUAAGACUAGGGCUCUAGGACUUCAAACCUUAGGCUUAGAUUAAUUAAGUAGUACUAAUGGGGAAGAUCGUCUAGUUGUAUUGUGCUAAGCCAACCAUGGACUGGACCUUCGAGUUCCAGUCUAUCAUGGAGCUCUGGGACUUGCUGCAGCGCUUGAAAGAACAAGGAGCCGCGCAGUCAGACAGCGUGAACCAUCCCCAGCAGCCGGCGGAGCACUGAACAUGUCACUUUCAGCUUACACAAACUACUUACUUCUACUAUCUAAGUAAGCAGUCUGUCAGAGCUGAAACACGUUGCAUUUUCCAUGCUAUUAACAUGCUUUGCAUAUUAAUAGUUUUGAAAAUGCAAUGUUGUAAUCAUAUGAGAUGACUAAGGUAGGCGCGGAUUCAAUUGUAAGAGAUCGUGAGGACCAAUUUUUAAAUCACCUUUCUUGCAAAUAUUGGUCCUUCGGUCUUUAUUUUUGGAUCCGCGCCUGCACCCGUAACAACAUUCUACUUCAUUUUAAUCUUAUGUGAGAGUUGCAACAUUACAGUACAAUAUAACUAUUGUAGUGAAGCUACUCCUCGCAAGGGGAGGGGAGAAGAGGGGUUCACAAGAGCAUUAGUAAUGUGCGACACAUUGCUGGUACUCUUAACACUCUCAUUUAGUUAAGUUCGUCAACACUCUUCUCCUCUCUGUCAUAUACCAUGAUAAAUAUUUCAAAUCUUGUAAAUGCUUGAAUAGGUUAACGAAUUUUAUAAAAAAAGCUACUGUUGUCUUUAUUUCAGAAAUAGUUCACUUCAAUACAAUGUAAUUAGAUACAAUGGACGUUUACUUACAUAAGAAUAAAUUAAUGUGUAAU
Long non-coding RNA from Helicoverpa armigera (cotton bollworm), 936 nucleotides. RefSeq lists it as uncharacterized. The record is from RefSeq and is a predicted model, not a curated record. NCBI's taxonomy places the organism in Eukaryota, Metazoa, Arthropoda, Insecta, Lepidoptera, Noctuidae. The transcript has 3 exons.